AGUGAACGCUGGCGGUAGGCCUAACACAUGCAAGUCGAACGGCAGCACAGUAAGAGCUUGCUCUUACGGGUGGCGAGUGGCGGACGGGUGAGGCAUACAUCGGACUUUACUUUUUCUUGGGGGAUAACGUAGGGAAACUUACGCUAUUACCGCAUACGACCUACGGGUGAAAGCAGGGGAUCUUAGGACCUUGCGCGAGUGAAUGAGCGGAUGUCGGAUUAGCUAGUUGGCGGGGUAAAGGCCCACCAAGGCGACGAUCCGUAGCUGGUCUGAGAGGAUGAUCAGCCACACUGGAACUGAGACACGGUCCAGACUCCUACGGGAGGCAGCAGUGGGGAAUAUUGGACAAUGGGCGCAAGCCUGAUCCAGCCAUACCGCGUGAGUGAAGAUGGCCUUCGGGUUGUAAAGCCCUUUUGUUGGGAAAGAAAAGCAGCAGGUUAAUACCCCGCUGUUCUGACGGUACCCAAAGAAUAAGCACCGGCUAACUUCGUG
This 492-nucleotide ribosomal RNA is filed under the name uncultured bacterium. RNAcentral's name for it is "partial 16S ribosomal RNA". It matches the Rfam family "Bacterial small subunit ribosomal RNA", at positions 29 to 507 of the family's 1533-position model. The record is from RNAcentral.